GGUCCCCCGCGGGCGUGGCACGACCCCCGCAGGGAGAUCAAGCAGCGCGAAGCUUUUCAGCGUCCUGGAGCCGCCUCUCAAACGUAACCCUACUCGGGCUCCCUGGGGCAAGGUUCCCGGGGUGGAGGGGACCUGAGAACGAGACCAGGGGUUUUAGGAUCCUGGGUCGCUGGGCAGGGCUGGCGUGACGGGGCGGCCCGGAGGCAGCUGAGCCCCCGGGCGCGGGGGACCACCGCGCGGGAGGCGGUCACGUCCUGCGCCGGCGGGCGGGGUGCGCAGGCACCGCAGUUAUUUCGGGACGCGCCGCGGUUCGCAGCACUUCCAGCCGCUCCACUUCCAGAGCUGUCCCAGGGCCCGGUUCUGGGGCGAAAAUGCCGGCCCUUCACAUCGAAGAUUUGCCAGAAAAGGAAAAGCUGAAGAUGGAAGUUGAGCAACUUCGCAAGGAGGUGAAGUUGCAGAGACAACAGGUGUCUAAAUGUUCUGAAGAAAUAAAGAAUUACAUUGAAGAACGUUCUGGAGAGGAUCCUCUGGUGAAAGGAAUUCCAGAAGACAAGAAUCCCUUUAAAGAAAAAGGCAGCUGCGUUAUUUCAUAAAUAACUCUGGGGAGACGCUUCAUCCUCAGUGGAAGAACUAGCUUGUUUUAGUUUGCCAGAAUGAAACCGACAUGCCUUUUAAAGAGAAAAAAAAAAAAAGAAUGAAAUUUAAAGGAGACUUUCUUCAGCACUUAUAUAGAUAUGGUUCUGUAUACAAGCUAUGUGCUUCUCAUCUUUGCUCACUACACUCCCCUUUUAAGAGGGCAGAGAGUAUCAAAUGUGCAGUUAUGGAAAGAAGGACAUUACUUGUGCAUGACUCACCUCUUUCAGUAUAUUGCUUGAUGCCUCAAAUAAAGUUUUAUCUCUGAAAAAUGAGUGUUGAUGAUUUAAGACAGCAUUUAAUUUUUUUGGCCUUAAAUUUUAUAUUUUUCCCCAUAACCUUUCUGGUAUUUGGGACAUGUAUCAAAAGAUGAGGUGGUUUGAUAGAUCAGUUCCCCAAUCCAGCUCUCUCUGCUUCAAUUCUUAGGAGGUUUACAGUGCUGAGUUCUGACUUCUGGAAUGUGUCUGAUCUAACGUUAACUAUUAGGGAAUUGAGUGAAUAGAACUGAACGCUAACAGGAAUCAGAUUAUUUGAGUCAGGAACCAGGCCAAGCCAUGCCUACAUAAGCACUUCUGUGGUUUGUCAUCAUACAGAUCUUGUUCAAACUGUUGCCGCAACAGUGGCCUUAGGAUAGGGAGAGGGUUGGGGUCAAGAGGAGCACCCGGGCGCCAGCCCUGGAAUGUUCACCCUCAGGGAGCUGCACCUCCUACAGGCUCUGCAGGUCUUGGCAUGGCCACCCUCCAGCUCUGUGUCAUUGGAACAGAGACUUGGUUCUGCGUGGCUUGGGCCAAGCACUGCUCUUUUCCUUCUCCUCCAAAGGGACAAGUUAACCUUGUACCCAUUUCUAAAAUUAGCUUGCUUUUUUCUCAUUGAUUUGCAGGAGUUUUUAAUAUAUUCUGACCAUGCAUCCUUUGUCGGUGAUAGGUGUUGGAGGUGCCUUCUCCCAGUCCAUGGCUUAACGUUCCACAGCGGGACCAUCGCUGCAGCGAUUUUAGCCCGCAGAUGCAGCACACCAGAGUACAUGGGCUGCUCAAGUCCUUCAUGAAGACACCCGUAGCCGGACCUUAAAGAAAGGGACCUUUCUUCCUCUCUUUGAGCAUUCUUCCUCCCUCUCCCUCUGUCUUUUGGAUGCAAGUUUCACCAGGUUUGAGCCAAAAACAAGACAAGGAAAACCCUUACAGCCUAGAUGCAUAGGUGUGCUUCAUCAAGCCAGAGAGGUGCCUGUGACUCCAGCAGCUUCCUCAAGUCUAUCAGCACCUUCACUAGGAACUACUUUCCCUUCCCUCUCCAAGAAGGAACGGGAUACCCCAGGCUUUUGAAAGAGCAGGUUACGGCAAACCAAGAGCUGGGAAUAUUUCCUUCAGUUUCUUGCCUUUUUUCCAAGUGUUGAAGUCAAUUGGGAUUACUGAGAGCCCAGGGAUAAUUUUACUCCAAAGGAGGAUUUACUCCAAGGUGAGGUUUAAGAACAGCAAAGGUAUUAUUUUUUGCCAGCAGCCAUAGAACAAUUAGUAUUUGGGUUAUGUUGCUAUUAUUUCAUUUAACAUUUAAAGUGGCAUGGGAUUUUAGUACCUUGGUGCUUGUAAAGUUUUACUUUAAUGAACUGUUUCAUUUAAGUCAUAAAGUUUUCUUCUGUUGCAUAAAAAAGCAAACAUCUAUUCUGCUUAUUGGUAAGACAGAUCAAAUCACCUGCUUCCUUCAUGAAAGGCCAACUCAAUGCAUUUAUCCACUAACUUCUUGAAGUUGGGGAUUACAAGGCUGUAUCCUGAAUUUCUAUCAGCCGCAUUCAGCUGCCCAUUCACAUGCAUCUGCAAGUCCUAGCUUCUGCUCUUCCUGUACCUUCAACCAUAUGACAAAUUAGUCAGCCUACUUCUGUUUUUUCACUAAUAAAUAUCCAAUCUUGUAGAUGUUUCUACCAAAUCUAAUCUGUUCUAUUUUCCUUACUGUUUCAUCAUCGUAACUCAGCAAAUCUAUAAGAAGUGUAAUAAAAUACUCUUGAUUUUCAAGUGUUGAACUUAUUAGCUUGCGUUAGGAAGAAAAUGAAAAUAUGGUAACUAUGUAUUUAGAUAUAUUAUAUAAGUAACCUUUAGUAAGUGGGAAUUUGUUAAGUAGAAUUCAAAUCAUGUGUUCAACUUCUUUCAGUAUAUAAUUGUGUAAUCAUUUGAUAUCUGAUUGAUUAAAUACUUAUUAUGCUUUGUGUAUUGAGACUUACGUUCUAUAAACCCACAUUAAAUUAGCAAAAUAGGCUUUCCUAAUUCUAGGCAGAAUCUACAUUACAAGCUCACCCCUACUUGGUAUUUUAAGACAGGUUAUUCUGUAUCUUGGAUGCAAACUGGUAUCUCAUUACUGUCUAAAUUUGCAUUUUCUUGAUUUCCUAUGACUUCUACUGUCAGAUUUUUGUGUACCUUUUGAUUACCUUCACCCAUUUCAACCACGCCCCCCACCCCCUACCAAUGGC
This is a long non-coding RNA of Equus caballus (horse), 3088 nucleotides long. The record is from Ensembl. NCBI's taxonomy places the organism in Eukaryota, Metazoa, Chordata, Mammalia, Perissodactyla, Equidae.